UGACGGGGGCCCGACAAGCGGUGGAGCAUGCGGUUUAAUUCGAAGCAACGCGAAGAACCUUACCAGGUCUUGACAUCCUUUGACCACUCUGGAGACAGAGCUUUCCCUUCGGGGACAAAGCGACAGGUGGUGCAUGGUUGUCGUCAGCUCGUGUCGUGAGAUGUUGGGUUAAGUCCCGCAACGAGCGCAACCCUUGAUUUUAGUUGCCAGCAUUUAGUUGGGCACUCUAAAGUGACUGCCGGUGCAAGCCGGAGGAAGGUGGGGAUGACGUCAAAUCAUCAUGCCCCUUAUGACCUGGGCUACACACGUGCUACAAUGGAUAGUACAAAGGGUCGCGAAGCCGCGAGGUGGAGAUAAUACCAUAAAACUAUUCUCAGUUCGGAUUGUAGGCUGCAACUCGCCUACAUGAAGCCGGAAUCGCUAGUAAUCGUGGAUCAGCAUGCCACGGUGAAUACGUUCCCGGGCCUUGUACACACCGCCCGUCACACCACGAGAGUUGGUAACACCCGAAGUCGGUAGGGUANCCUUUAUGGAGCCA
RNAcentral lists this ribosomal RNA (538 nucleotides) under Listeria sp. RNAcentral's name for it is "bacterial SSU rRNA". It matches the Rfam family "Bacterial small subunit ribosomal RNA", at positions 911 to 1451 of the family's 1533-position model. Lineage: Bacteria; Bacillati; Bacillota; Bacilli; Caryophanales; Listeriaceae. The record is from RNAcentral.